Non-coding RNA from Cricetulus griseus (Chinese hamster), 186 nucleotides. The record is from RefSeq and is a predicted model, not a curated record. Lineage: Eukaryota; Metazoa; Chordata; Mammalia; Rodentia; Cricetidae.
GCCCCCUGUCAGCCUGAGGUAUUUUCCUUAUAUGAUCAGGCCUCACGUGGCCGGCGCUGCUGGUCUGGAGCCUGAGAGGAUUAUGAAAACGUGGCAGGAUUUCCUGCUGUGCUGUUCUGGAAGACUAGGCUAGCCCCGAACUACGAGAUCCGCCUAAAUGCUGGGAUUAAAUGAGUGCUCCACCAU